AAAAAUAUUUGGUCUCGUGCCAAAUUUACACCUGUGUGCACCAUUGUCUGUAUUUGGUAGCUCGAGCGCGCUCCGGAAGCUCAACACUUCCAUUAGGGGCGCCUACCCUUGCGGGUCACAUCCCGCUUGGGUUGGGCUACCGCCUUUUUUUUGAAAAACCUUUUUUGGUUUGUCUUUUUGUCUGAACGAAGAGUUGAUCUUAAUUGAUUAAUGAUUUGAAAA
This 222-nucleotide unclassified non-coding RNA is filed under the name soil metagenome. RNAcentral's name for it is "partial internal transcribed spacer 1". The record is from RNAcentral.